Small nuclear RNA from Lycium barbarum (goji berry), 102 nucleotides. NCBI's taxonomy places the organism in Eukaryota, Viridiplantae, Streptophyta, Magnoliopsida, Solanales, Solanaceae. The record is from RefSeq and is a predicted model, not a curated record.
GUAGAGAAAUAAGAAUGGACAUCUGAUAAAAUUGGAACGAUAUUGAUUAACAUGAUUCCUGUGCAAGGAUGACACACAAAUCAAGAAAUUGUCCCCUUUCUC